RNAcentral lists this ribosomal RNA (253 nucleotides) under uncultured bacterium. RNAcentral describes it as "partial 16S ribosomal RNA". It matches the Rfam family "Bacterial small subunit ribosomal RNA", at positions 524 to 776 of the family's 1533-position model. The record is from RNAcentral.
UACGUAGGGUGCAAGCGUUGUCCGGAAUUAUUGGGCGUAAAGAGCUCGUAGGCGGGUCGUCGCGUCGGCUGUGAAAUCCCGAGGCUCAACCUCGGGUCUGCAGUCGAUACGGGCGGACUGGAGUACUGCAGGGGAGACUGGAAUUCCUGGUGUAGCGGUGAAAUGCGCAGAUAUCAGGAGGAACACCGGUGGCGAAGGCGGGUCUCUGGGCAGUUACUGACGCUGAGGAGCGAAAGCGUGGGGAGCGAACGGG